CUCAAGUUAUUUGUGUGAUUUUCCAUGUAUGUUCUCUAGCACUCAGUCAAAAAUAAUGAGGUGACAAGACAACAUAAUAUGAAAAUUAAGCCGUUAAUAACUAAUAGAAGUGAACACAGAAGGCUCCAGAUAACCGAGUUCUCAAGCAGAAAUUUAAAACAACCUUGUUCCUUAUGUUUAAAGUGACAGAAGACACCACUGAACAUGUCUGCAAAAGACAGGACACUGUAUGAAAGAGAAUCACAUGAAAAUUCAUAAACUGAAAAAAAUAAAAUUAAUAAAUCAGUAGUUGAUUUGAGCCACAAAAGAUAGAAAUCGCAAAUGGAAGACCAACCAGUCAAAAGUAUCUAAAAUGAUCUACCAAGAGACAACAUGGUGGAAAGUACAGAAGAUGGGGUAAGAGACCUCUGGGACAGUACAAAGGUCUAAUGUCUGUAUUUACAGUCUAAGAAGGAAUAGAAUGAGCAUUUUGGUUUUUGGUAAGAUACUAGGAAGUCAGCACUAAACCUGAGGCUUGAAAUCUCACCAAGAAGGCGGGAACAAGAGAAGAUUAACGUGAACACCACCUCGCUUGGACAGAAGGUUCUCUCCUUCACUCAGCUAAGUGGUGAUUGCAUCCGUCUCUCUCUUCCUCCCUCCCUGCCUCUCCUGCUCCUCCCCCUCCCUCUGCAGCCGCCAUCUUGUGCUCCCGGCCUGUGUCUACUGACCACCCCGUGGGGUGUUCUUGCCCCCAUCUGCAGACUGGAGCCAUCAGACGGUCAGCACGCACUGGUCUGUAGUCAACUGUAAAACAAGCAGAACAACCCAUAAGAAUAGGUGCAGUGCAGUCAGGGCUGGCCCGUUGGAUCUCUCUAGAACAUCACACCCAGCACCUGUGAUACUUUGAGCAGAGACUUGGUCUGAAUUUACUCUGUAGCAAUGGAAGAGCCUCCCCACUCAUGAAAGAGAGGCAUUCUGGAUUUCAGGGGUUUCUCCCGGAGCUCCGGCUUAUACCUGGGCCUUCUCCAAAGGCCCCUCGCCCCUCUUCCUCGGAGCCUCGCCCCUCCCUGGUCCCAGGUGGGAGCCCAUCUACCUGCCGACCAUCCCGCCCCCCAGGGCAGAUCCUUGGGAAGAAAGGCAAGAAUCCGUACGAUGAUAAACACGGGAAGGGCAAGAACCGUCCUGCAGGACCGCCACGUGUCUGCCCGGACGGCCCAGCCACAGGCCGCCUAUCGCGUUUUAAACACUUUGUGCUGGUAAUUACGGGUUGUGGACUUACUGAAAAUCCGAAAAACUCGAAGGAAAGUCUCCCCCGUGCUGUUGCCAUUGAUUGUUGACUUCUUUAUGCUAUGGCGGAGUCUGAAGACCUGUCCGUCAAGGCGAGAGGAUUAGCCUCACCCAUGUGAAGGGAAAAUUGGGAAGGAAAAAAAAACACCUUGUCUGAACUUGAAAAUAAAAAAUGCUGAUGUGGUUUUUA
Long non-coding RNA from Suricata suricatta (meerkat), 1456 nucleotides. RefSeq lists it as uncharacterized. The transcript has 2 exons. The record is from RefSeq and is a predicted model, not a curated record. Lineage: Eukaryota; Metazoa; Chordata; Mammalia; Carnivora; Herpestidae.